UACGAAGGGGGCUAGCGUUGCUCGGAAUUACUGGGCGUAAAGGGCGCGUGGGCGGAUAUCUAAGUUGGGGGUGAAAUCCCGGGGCUCAACCUCGGAAUUGCCUUCAAAACUGGAUAUCUUGAGUUCGGGAGAGGUGAGUGGAACUCCGAGUGUAGAGGUGAAAUUCGUAGAUAUUCGGAAGAACACCAGUGGCGAAGGCGACUCACUGGCCCGAUACUGACGCUGAGGCGCGAAAGCGUGGGGAGCAAACAGG
Molecule: ribosomal RNA, 253 nt
Filed under: uncultured bacterium
Lineage: Bacteria
Description: partial 16S ribosomal RNA
Rfam family: Bacterial small subunit ribosomal RNA
Source: RNAcentral